RNAcentral lists this ribosomal RNA (370 nucleotides) under uncultured Gammaproteobacteria bacterium. Its description in RNAcentral is "bacterial SSU rRNA". It matches the Rfam family "Bacterial small subunit ribosomal RNA", at positions 38 to 406 of the family's 1533-position model. The record is from RNAcentral. Lineage: Bacteria; Pseudomonadati; Pseudomonadota; Gammaproteobacteria.
GGCGGCAGGCCUAACACAUGCAAGUCGGGCGGAAACGAUGGAAGCUUGCUUCCAGGCGUCGAGCGGCGGACGGGUGAGUAACGCGUAGGAAUCUACCUGAUAGUGGGGGAUAGCCCGAGGAAACUCGGAUUAAUACCGCAUACGUCUUAAGAGAGAAAGCAGGGGAUCUUCGGACCUUGCGCUAUCAGAUGAGCCUGCGUUGGAUUAGCUAGUUGGUGAGGUAAAGGCUCACCAAGGCGACGAUCCAUAGCUGGUCUGAGAGGAUGAUCAGCCACACUGGGACUGAGACACGGCCCAGACUCCUACGGGAGGCAGCAGUGGGGAAUAUUGGACAAUGGGGGCAACCCUGAUCCAGCCAUGCCGCGUGUGU